UAGGUGGUCUGAGAGGACGAUCACCCAGACUGGGACUGAGACACGGCCCAGACUCCUACGGGAGGCAGCAGUCGGGAAUUUUGCUCAAUGGGCGAAAGCCUGAAGCAGCAAGGCCGCGUGAGGGAUGAAGGCCUUCGGGUUGUAAACCUCUUUUUCCAGGGACGAUAAUGACGGUACCUGAAGAAUAAGUCACGGCUAACUACGUGCCAGCAGCCGCGGUAAUACGUAGGUGACUAGCGUUGUCCGGAUUUACUGGGCGUAAAGAGCGCGCAGGCGGUCGUUCAAGUCGAGUGUGAAAGCCCCCGGCUCAACUGGGGAGGGUCACUCGAUACUGAUCGACUGGAAGGCAGGAGAGGGAAGCGGAAUUCCCGGUGUAGUGGUGAAAUGCGUAGAUAUCGGGAGGAACACCAGUGGCGAAGGCGGCUUCCUGGCCUGUUCUUGACGCUGAGGCGCGAAAGCUAGGGGAGCAAACGGGAUUAGAUACCCCGGUAGUCCUAGCCGUAAACGAUGGACACUAGGUGUUGGUGGUAUCAACCCCACCAGUGCCGAAGCUAACGCAUUAAGUGUCCCGCCUGGGGAGUACGGCCGCAAGGCUAAAACUCAAAGGAAUUGACGGGGCCCCGCACAAGCAGCGGAGCGUGGGGUUUAAUUCGAUGCAACGCGAAGAACCUUACCAGGGCUUGACAUGACCAGGAAUCCGGCGGAAACGUCGGCGCCCCGCAAGGGGCCUGGCCACAGGUGUUGCAUGGCUGUCGUCAGCUCGUGUCGUGAGAUGUUGGGUUAAGUCCCGCAACGAGCGCAACCCCUAUCGUGUGUUGUAUCACUCACACGAGACUGCCGAGAGAAACUCGGAGGAAGGCGGGGAUGACGUCAAGUCAGCAUGGCCCUUACGUCCUGGGCUACACCCACGCUACAAUGGCCGGUACAACGGGCGGCGAAACCGCGAGGUGGAGCAAAUCCCUUAAAGCCGGUCUCAGUUCGGAUUGUAGGCUGCAACUCGCCUACAUGAAGCCGGAGUUGCUAGUAACCGCCGGUCAGCAUACGGCGGUGAAUAUGUUCCCGGGGCUUGUACACACCGCCCGUCACGUCAUGAAAGCUGGCAACACCCGAAGCCGGUGGGCCAACCCGCAAGGGAGGCAGCCGUCGAAGGUGGGGUCGGUGAUUGGGACGAAGUCGUAACAAGGUAGCCGUACGGGAACGUGCGGCUG
This 1208-nucleotide ribosomal RNA is filed under the name metagenome. RNAcentral's name for it is "bacterial SSU rRNA". It matches the Rfam family "Bacterial small subunit ribosomal RNA", at positions 284 to 1520 of the family's 1533-position model. The record is from RNAcentral.